This 253-nucleotide ribosomal RNA is filed under the name uncultured bacterium. RNAcentral describes it as "partial 16S ribosomal RNA". It matches the Rfam family "Bacterial small subunit ribosomal RNA", at positions 524 to 776 of the family's 1533-position model. The record is from RNAcentral.
UACGUAGGGCGCAAGCGUUGUCCGGAAUUAUUGGGCGUAAAGAGCUCGUAGGCGGUUUGUCGCGGCUGUCGUGAAAGCUUGGGGCUUAACCCCAAGUCUGCGGUGGAUACGGGCAGACUAGAGGCAGGUAGGGGAGAACGGAAUUCCCGGUGUAGCGGUGAAAUGCGCAGAUAUCGGGAGGAACACCGGUGGCGAAGGCGGUUCUCUGGGCCUGUACUGACGCUGAGGAGCGAAAGCGUGGGGAGCAAACAGG